GACAGAGGUGCCAAGCGUUAGGCGGAAUCACUGGGCUUAAAGCGUGUGUAGGCGGGCGAUCAAGUACCUUGUGAAAUCCCACGGCUCAACCGUGGAACUGCUGGGUAUACUGGUUGUCUUGAGCCAGCUAGGGGCGAGCGGAACAGACGGUGGAGCGGUGAAAUGCGUAGAUAUUGGGAAGAACACCGGUGGCGAAGGCGGCUCACUGGCUCAUUUCUGACGCUCAGGCGCGACAGCGUGGGGAUCAAACAGG
RNAcentral lists this ribosomal RNA (253 nucleotides) under uncultured bacterium. RNAcentral's name for it is "partial 16S ribosomal RNA". It matches the Rfam family "Bacterial small subunit ribosomal RNA", at positions 524 to 776 of the family's 1533-position model. The record is from RNAcentral.